AUGGCGCCGCCCGGAUCGCGACGGUGGGCGUACGUGCGGAUAAUGGCCGGCACCAUCGUCGGCGGCGGCCUCGGCUUCUAUGUCAUGCUCCGCAUCGAGACCUCCUACAAGGUGAGGAUGGAGGAGAGGCUACGUCGAUGGCAAGCUGGAGUGCCUCUACCAUGGCUGGCAGUUGGACGGCCAGGGCAAGUGCGUCAAGAUCCCACAGAUCCCACCAUUCCACACUUCUUUUCACGAUGA
This 240-nucleotide ribosomal RNA is filed under the name Triticum aestivum (bread wheat). Its description in RNAcentral is "partial small subunit ribosomal RNA". The record is from RNAcentral. Lineage: Eukaryota; Viridiplantae; Streptophyta; Magnoliopsida; Poales; Poaceae.